AGCAUUCGUCUUCUGGUUACGGGGCCAUAGCUCAGCUGGGAGAGCGCGUGCUUUGCAAGCAUGAGGUCGUCGGUUCGAUCCCGUCUGGCUCCACCAGCCUUCGCUGGCUGAUGCCAGCUACGGCUAGGCGAGCCCGACUAAAGCGAAGGCUGCCGCGGCGAAGCUCGAAGAGCGAAGCCGGGCUGGCGCCGACCGACCAAAUCGUCCGCGAAACAUCACUUCGCUUUGCGUGAUCCUCACCAGGAUCUGCAUUGCGUGUUUUCUGACAUCGUAAAGAGGAGAUCGAUCCGAGUUUGGAUCAAGCGAAGCAAUUCGCAUGACCCAUUCACUAUCUCCGGGAUCAUUUCGGCGCUCGCUUCAGUCGUGAGAUUGAAUGCGGGUUGUAAAUGAUCCUUUGUUAGCGAAGCUUGACCGCCUCGCUAUCGGGCCGAUCUUACGAAGCAAGCUGGUCUUUCUAGUCAAUGUCCGGCUGCGACAAUCGCAUCAUCGAGGGUGCGCGCCUUAAAUGGCAGUUGCGCAGACAACAUUCUGCCGAGUGUGUGGACAUUGAUAAUGAGAGCAAUCAAGUGCCUUAAGGGUGUUCGGUGGAUGCCUUGGCGCUGAGAGGCGAUGAAGGACGUGCUACGCUGCGAUAAGCCGU
RNAcentral lists this unclassified non-coding RNA (640 nucleotides) under Bradyrhizobium sp. ORS 121. RNAcentral's name for it is "partial 16S-23S ribosomal RNA intergenic spacer". The stretch from base 21 to 93 matches the Rfam family "tRNA". Lineage: Bacteria; Pseudomonadati; Pseudomonadota; Alphaproteobacteria; Hyphomicrobiales; Nitrobacteraceae. The record is from RNAcentral. RNAcentral also lists the same sequence under 1 other name.